UAGAUACUUAAUUAUGCUGCUGCGUGAUCGGCGUGGUACAGAGCAGCCAGUCGUCUAGCUCCCAGGAGCACAGCAGAGCGGGAAACGAUAUUGCCCUAAAUUUUGAAAUGUGAUGUCACAAAGCUUUUGACCCCCCUGUCCCUUGUCACACAAUGUCACUUCUGAAUGAUACCCUCCCCCCCCUUCAAGGUGUGACAAAAUUUAUGGAUGGCCCUUAUAUAAUAUAAAUAAAGUUAAAUAAAUAAAUUGCGAGAGUAUAAAAUGUUCGGUUACACCCGAACUUAGCCCUUCCUUACUUGUUUUAUAUGAUAUUAUUCUUAUAGUUUGAAUGGGGGGGUUGGAUAGAGGAAAAUAUAACGACAAAUAAUGUUCAGCUGGUUUAUCGCUUUCUUAAAGUUUUAUACAAAGACUUACUGAAAGUUUUGACGUUCCAACUAUGACCAUGAGAAGUAUUUUUGCGCAUAUAAUGGCAAUUACUGUUAUAUGGGAGCUAUAGGACCUAGUAGUCCGAUGGGGCCAAUUUUUUUUAUUAUAUAUUUAAUAUAUUAUAAUAAUAUAAUAUAAUAUAAUAAUAUUUUUCUGGAUUUUUGGUCAAAAUUUCAUAGCGAUAUCUCAACGGGAAGUAUUUAUGACCGCGCCUUCAUACAAGCCGAACCAAUGUGCAGUGGCAGGCCAAAAAAGAUUACAUCAAGACUGGAAAGGAUGAUAAUAAAAAAAAAUUAUAAUAAACCACAGUGCAGCCUUAUGCCUAAUACCUGAGACAGACAUGUAGUACAUAUUGUAGUAUGCUUCAGAAACCAUAUGUGUAUCACCGGUUUUCCGAAUUUUGUUUGAAAGCAAAUGGUGUUCCGUACUACAAUAGAGUUUUAGAAACCAUUGGAAUUUUGUGGUGUUGUGAAAUGUACUACAAUGGAAUGCAUUGAACACACCGAAAGCUUUAAGCUCUUUUCUUGUAAUCAUAUGUUUUCUGUCAUUUUGACAUCAACAAACAAAUUAAAUUCAAAACCAAACAAAAGUGAAACAUGGAAAAAAAUAGGAAAAAAUACGUUGGAAACGCUGGAAUAUAAAAAAUAAUUGAAGUGUGGGAACAAUUUAACCUAAAAUUGCGUGGCAUUCACAAAAAUAGCCACAUUUACGCUGUACACAUUGUACACAGCUGGGAAAGGAGCACGGAGUUUCCCUGACAACGGACGAGCUGCGUAGCCGAAUUAAUAACAUGGCGAAGAAAUACAGACAGGAAAGGAAGACUAUUGGUCCAAGUGGAGGUGCCCCAUCUAAUUGAGAGUUCUACGAGGAGCCCACAAGAUAAUUGGCGGUUAUAAGUCAAAUUUCACACAAGAAUUGGCGGACGAGAGCAUUGAAGAUGGUUUAUUAAAAAUAUCAAAUGAUUUAUUUAUGUACAUACAUAUGUACAUAAAUACAUUUUUAAUCAAAUUAUAUACAUAUGUAUGUUUUUAUUCCACAGGUUCGGAUUCAUUAGUUGCUUCAGCUGACAUGUCGGCAAAUGAAGAUGAAACAGAUAAGAUACCAUCCACUCCAUCGUCUGCAAAGAAGAAAAAAACGGAUAAUAAUGAAGAAUUGCUCGAAUUGGCUAGAAAAGAGCAAAAGUUGAUAGAACAUUAUUUAAAUAAAUCUAUUGACAACUACAUUCUUUUGACUAUGUUAAAUAAAAAUACUUAAUUUAAGUACUUUAAUGUAUAUGCAUAUUCUACAAUAUAACAUUUAAGUUACGUACUGUGUAAAAAAUAA
Molecule: long non-coding RNA, 1749 nt
Organism: Zeugodacus cucurbitae (melon fly)
Lineage: Eukaryota; Metazoa; Arthropoda; Insecta; Diptera; Tephritidae
Exons: 2
Source: RefSeq, a predicted model, not a curated record